GAUGAACGCUAGCUACAGGCUUAACACAUGCAAGUCGCGGGGCGAGCAUGUUACUUGGCGUUGUCCACGUAAUAGAUGGCGGACCGGCGCACGGUGAGUAUCGCGUAUCCAACCUUCCCAUAUCCACGGGAUAGCCUGCCGAAAGGCAGAUUAAUACCGUAUGUUGUCGCACGCUGGCAUCAAAAUGCGACGAAAGGCUUAGCGGAUAUGGAUGGGGAUGCGUCCGAUUAGCUUGACGGCGGGGUAACGG
This 250-nucleotide ribosomal RNA is filed under the name uncultured bacterium. Its description in RNAcentral is "partial 16S ribosomal RNA". It matches the Rfam family "Bacterial small subunit ribosomal RNA", at positions 28 to 263 of the family's 1533-position model. The record is from RNAcentral.